Molecule: long non-coding RNA, 698 nt
Organism: Zingiber officinale
Lineage: Eukaryota; Viridiplantae; Streptophyta; Magnoliopsida; Zingiberales; Zingiberaceae
Exons: 4
Source: RefSeq, a predicted model, not a curated record
CGGUUACAGCCGAAUCGAAGCCGUCUUCGCAUCGCUUCCUACCAACGAAUACGAUCGGAGCCUUUAGGGUUCUUGCCCGUUCCCCGCUUUCCCUCUAUCCGUUCGCGCUUCCAUUAGGGUCUUGUUUGCCGGAUCAGGGCUGGUUAGGGUUCCUUUUCGCGUUCAAAGUAUUGUGCGUGCCUUGAUUCCGGCGAUUUCAUGGCUGGCGGUAAUUUCUUGGGGAGAAUCAUCAGCUAUGUUGUCAACGAGUUGGUCGUCGAGGGCCUUGCCAAUAACCCUAGCUUUCAAAGGUUUGCUGUGAGAACGUCUAAAGCUAUUGAAGAAGCAUCUACCAAAGCUUCUCGGGCUAAAGAACAAUUUGUCGAGCAAUUGAAGAAUGCUACAAAAGAUGAUCCAUACAAGAAUCAUUGAAUUCCCCACAAAGGAGCUUGUUUGAUGGGCAAGGUCAUGUGUUUGCAGUUACGUGUCCAUAGUAUUUGCUAAUGCCUAAACAUAGAGAGCUAGUGCACUAUUUGUGAUGAGUAUUAAUGCUAUUGAGUUCUGUCAAACUUAUGAUUACUUAGCACUGUUUCACUGAGUAAAGGGUACAUGCCCAACUCUCUGAACAAGAGCUUAUCUAGCUUAUCACCGGCCUUUGUGUUUCGAUCCUCAAGUUGUUUAUGACAGCUUAUCUAGCUUGCAGUCACAUUGUUUGAGUA